Long non-coding RNA from Cervus elaphus (red deer), 3547 nucleotides. RefSeq lists it as uncharacterized. NCBI's taxonomy places the organism in Eukaryota, Metazoa, Chordata, Mammalia, Artiodactyla, Cervidae. The transcript has 2 exons. The record is from RefSeq and is a predicted model, not a curated record.
GAACUCAAGGGUAUUAUGCUAAGUGAUAACAGCCAGAGAAAGACAAAUAACACAUAAUCUCUCCUUGUGUGGAAUCUAAUAUAUAUAUAUAUUUUUAAAGCUAUGCUUAUAGAGAACAGACUGAUAGUUUCCGGGAGUAGGGAGUAGGAGAGAUAAGUGAACUAUUUUGGGGGUAUUUUUUGUUUUUGUUAGUAUUUUUGGUUUAGAUAAACUGAAAAGAAAAGAAGAUACAAGAGUUCAUCACCGGAAGUAUUGCACUACAAGAAAUGUUAAAGGAAAUCUUUCAAGUGAAAAGAGAGUUAUACCAGAUGGAAAUAAAAUACAUAGAGGGCUGAAGAGCACUGGAAAUGGUGACUAUUUGGGAAAUAAUUUGGAAGAAAAUGUCAACGAAAUAAAGAGGUAGAAACUGGAGGAUGGAGAAAAGCUAGUGUUUCGUGAGUCACAGAACUUCUUGUAUCCUCACCAACAUUCUUCAACCCUGCAUGUCCCACCUGCUUGAUCUACUUACAUGUGAUGUAAAAUCUCACACGGCUGCCCAGGAUUCCUGUAUUUUUAUGAGGAGCUUUUUUUUUUUUUUUUUCUUAUUGCUCUUGGAGGAGUGAAAGGGUACUUGUCAACUAAAGUCUGUUUUUCCUUCAUCUAGUUUCUGCUUUGCAAGAUAUCAUAGCUUCUGAUUUUGUCUUUCUGGGUACAUUGUUUCAAUUUCUCUCUAUAAGUGGGGAGUUCAACCAAUUUUGACAUAAGGAUGCCACACAGACAUCUAGACAUGUGGUGGGCAAAACUUUGCCUAGUAUAGUCAUCAUAUACAUCCUUAAAACACUACACAGUACCUCCCAAUAAACAGAAUCAUCAUAGCAGUCCUCAUCAGAUGGUUGUUCCCAGAUAGGUAUCUUUAGAAUUGCACCUGUGAAAGUGGGGAGAAAAUAAGUCAUGUUAUGAGGCUGAAAGGGAAAAUAAACUUGCUUAGUAGUUAAAAUACUGUUACAAAGUCAUCCCCUGGAGCUUACAAGAUUAUUGUCAGAGAUGUAGAAAAAUUUUAAGUUUACCAAUGUUUAACAAUAUCUAUUAUGCUGAGAGCAUGAGAUAGAGGGAAAUGUUUAUUUUUUAUGCUCACCUGUGAUUAGCCCUCCAACAAGUGCUGUUGCAAUGGAAGAACCUAGCGCAGCUGCCUGACUGGCCAUCUUAGCCCUAGGAGGCCAAAAAUAUAGAAUUAUUUGUCCAAGAUGCCUGGCAAUAAAAACUGCAUUUCCUGAAGGUGUGCAUGCCUGCCACCUUCAGGCCAGAGCGCAGCAUGACAUACCAGCAAACAUGACAAUUUUUCUUUAAUCGCAUAUAUUUUCUUUGAAACUCUUAAUCAGUGUUCACAAAUUCUUAUAAGCAUGUAUACAAGAACCACCUUUUUCUUCAGAAAUGAUGAAAAUAUCUUCCUUAGAAAGCGUUUAGUAUUUCUAAAAAUGUGAUUGGAGAUCUGAUUCAACAACUAUUUACUGGGUGCUUGCUCUGUACCAGCUUCCCUUCUAGGCACUGAGGAAGGAGCAAUGAACAAAACAAAUGGAAGCUGACAUCUCUCCUUACCCCAUCCCCCUAAAAACAAUUGUGAUGAAAUUAAAAAUCAGAAAAGCUAAUUUUUAGCAUGUAGUGUAGGGACAAGAUAUUAAAGUGUGUCUCCGUAUCUUAGAAGUAGUUACCUUGAAAUGAAGUGAAUGAAUAAUUCCUUAUAAUUUGGGGAAUAGAAGAAUAUGAUAAGAAAGCUACAGAAAUGCAUAAAGCUGUCAAAAGAACUAGGAGUGUGGGAAUCUCCCUAGCACAUGCCUCACUCUUAACAGGCAGUUAACAAAUAGUUGAAAGGUCAAAUCAGUGGUUGCAGGACAGCAAACUGCUGGAAGAAGAAAGUGUGUUGCUCUUUCUUCCUCAUCCUUCAAGGGAAAAAAUGUAGUAAACUCAGAUUUCUUUUUUUUUUCUCUCUCUCUUGAUUUAAAGGGUUUAAUCUCUUUCUACUGAAGGAAAAGUUGUCCAAGAAAUGUAUGAUUAUUGUAAAAAUAGACAAAACCCUGAAGAAAGAGAAGGGGAAAAGUUUAAUUUCCCUCCAAUCCUAUCAGUAUAAACAUGUAAAAUAUAAAUAAGUAUUUUUAUAAAAAUGCAGUCAUAUCAUGAUACUGGGUUUUCACAUUAAAUCUUAAUGUUCUUUUAUGUCAGUAAAUGUAGAUCUGGAUCAUAGCUUUUAUUGCUACAGAGUAUUACAUUGUACAAAUAUACUGUAAUUACAGUUCUAUAGAUUGAAUAUUUAGAUUAUUUCUUAUGUUUCAUAUUUUUAAAUAUGCUGUGAGAAUAAAUCCUCUUAUGGACAUGCUUAUGGACUUAUCCAGAAAUUUCCCUAAAAUAACACCUAACUAGAAAUGGGAUUAUUUGUAAAAUUUAUAUGCUUAAUAAGGCCUUUUCCAGAUAGGAACUUGUACAAUUUAUAUCUCCAUUUUGUUACUUUGGCCACCAUUCAGUAUUAUAGUUUAUAAAAUCUUUAUCAAUAUUAUAUACUGAAAAAUGGAUAACUUGUUUUAAUUAGCAUUUCUUUGAUUACUAGUGAAGUUGAAUAUUUAAUAUAUAUUUACUCAUUUGAUUUUCUUCUUUUGUAAGCUGACUGUUAAUUUUACCAGAAUUUACCAAGAUCUUUUACAAGGUAUUAAAAGAUGUUUCUGAUGAAAAAUAUUCCAUGAUAAAAUAGACUUGGAAAAUGCUGGAUUAAACAAAAUUAACAGCAUUAUUAAAGUUAGGCUGCCAUGAUUUGAAAAAAAUGUCCCCUAAGUAUAUUAACUUCUCCUUGUUCUGUGUUUGCCAAUAAACCCAAUUUGCAUUUUCAUAAUCUGAAUAGACACAUGUGAGUAAGUAGGCUCGACUCUAGGACAAAGUAUUGUGUCUGCUGUGUGAAAUAUGUGUGAAUUUUGCCCACACAUGUGAAUGGACCUUCCAAGGUUUGCCCCCUCAGCUCCUCCUGAGUAAAUUAAGUUGUUGCUAAGUCUGUAUACCCAAGGACUAGAUGCUUAAACAUGGAAUCUACCCCAAAUCUGGCCACUGAGCAAGAAUCAAGCCUACUUACUCUCAUGUGUCUAUUCAGAUUAUUAAACUGCAAAUCGGGUAAUGUUUCUUUGGCCCUCAGUUAUGUCUCUUUGGCUUCAGUAAGAACAGUACUUACAAACUGUGGUCUGGAUUGCUAAAGAAAAAACUCUUAUCACUGGGUUUCUCUGAGAGUGAGAGGAAACAGCACUUGACCUUGGGGAACAGGAAAACAUAUUCUUUCACUCACGGGUCAGAGCUCUCCAAGGCCAAGAUGAUGAUGCUGGCAAGACCUCCUAUCACACCAGGUAAGCCAUGUAGGUUAUGGACCCCGCAUGUGUCAUGGAUCCUCAGUUUAGUAGCAAAAAGUGGCUGAAAUUGUAAAAAGAGGAAGCCUUAUUAUUUUGUCAGCUAUAGAGAGCCCUGUGACUACAGUAAACAAACAUGCAGGAAAAUCUUUAUCUCCAGGCCAGUUUCCCAUCUACAUCUGAAAUCCACU